RNAcentral lists this ribosomal RNA (433 nucleotides) under uncultured bacterium. RNAcentral describes it as "partial 16S ribosomal RNA". It matches the Rfam family "Bacterial small subunit ribosomal RNA", at positions 29 to 507 of the family's 1533-position model. The record is from RNAcentral.
AACGAACGCUGGCGGCAUGCCUAACACAUGCAAGUCGAACGAAGCCUUCGGGCUUAGUGGCGCACGGGUGCGUAACGCGUGGGAAUCUGCCCGUUGCUUCGGAAUAACAGUUAGAAAUGUCUGCUAAUACCGGAUGAAGUCUUCGGACCAAAGAUUUAUCGGCACGGGAUGAGCCCGCGUAGGAUUAGGUAGUUGGUGGGGUACAGGCCUACCAAGCCGAGGAUCCUUAGCUGGUCUGAGAGGAGGAUCAGCCACACUGGGACUGAGACACGGCCCAGAAUGGGACGGGAGGCAGCAGUAGGGAAUAUUGGACGAGGGACGCAAGUCUAAUCCAGCAAUGCCGCGUGAGUGAUGAAGGCCUUAGGGUUGUAAAGCUCUUUUACCAGGGAUGAUAAUGACAGUACCUGGAGAAUAAGCACCGGCUAACUCCGUG